Molecule: ribosomal RNA, 107 nt
Filed under: Bacillus sonorensis
Lineage: Bacteria; Bacillati; Bacillota; Bacilli; Caryophanales; Bacillaceae
Description: partial 16S ribosomal RNA
Rfam family: Bacterial small subunit ribosomal RNA
Source: RNAcentral
UUCAUGGAGAGUUUGAUCCUGGCUCAGGACGAACGCUGGCGGCGUGCCUAAUACAUGCAAGUCGAGCGAACCGACGGGAGCUUGCUCCCUUAGGUUAGCGGCGGACG